RNAcentral lists this long non-coding RNA (899 nucleotides) under Homo sapiens (human). The record is from RNAcentral. Lineage: Eukaryota; Metazoa; Chordata; Mammalia; Primates; Hominidae.
GAGCACAACGUCGAAAGCAGCCGUUGGGAGCCCAGGAGGCGGGGCGCCUGUGGGAGCCGUGGAGGGAACUUUCCCAGUCCCCGAGGCGGAUCCGGUGUUGCAUCCUUGGAGCGAGCUGAGAGCUCGAGUACAGAACCUGCUAAGGCCAUCAAACCUAUUGAUCGGAAGUCAGUCCAUCAGAUUUGCUCUGGGCCGGUGGUACCGAGUCUAAGCACUGCGGUGAAGGAGUUAGUAGAAAACAGUCUGGAUGCUGGUGCCACUAAUAUUGAUCUAAAGCUUAAGGACUAUGGAGUGGAUCUCAUUGAAGUUUCAGGCAAUGGAUGUGGGGUAGAAGAAGAAAACUUCGAAGGCUUAACUCUGAAACAUCACACAUCUAAGAUUCAAGAGUUUGCCGACCUACCUCAGGUUGAAACUUUUGGCUUUCGGGGGGAAGCUCUGAGCUCACUUUGUGCACUGAGUGAUGUCACCAUUUCUACCUGCCAUGUAUCGGCGAAGGUUGGGACUCGACUGGUGUUUGAUCACUAUGGGAAAAUCAUCCAGAAAACCCCCUACCCCCACCCCAGAGGGAUGACAGUCAGUGUGAAGCAGUUAUUUUCUACGCUACCUGUGCACCAUAAAGAAUUUCAAAGGAAUAUUAAGAAGGUACAGUAAAUUAAUCCUGGUUUUCAAGAAUAUUGGUUAAUGCACAUGAGCAAAAGAUUUACUAAAGAUGUUUAUUCUUCAGUUGAUUCCCUUCCCCUAAUUUAUUGAGAAAUGCUUUAUUUGCAUUUCUCAUUAAAGACUUAACUUCAGAAUGAUUUACUUUUUUCUUUUUAUCACAUAGUGUUUAUUAGGACUGGGAAACAUAGUGAGACUCUGUCUCUAUGAAAAAUUAAAAAAAAAAUUGACUGGGCAUGGUG